Long non-coding RNA from Gallus gallus (chicken), 504 nucleotides. RefSeq lists it as uncharacterized. NCBI's taxonomy places the organism in Eukaryota, Metazoa, Chordata, Aves, Galliformes, Phasianidae. The transcript has 4 exons. The record is from RefSeq and is a predicted model, not a curated record.
CACUGUAGAAGUGACUGUAGGUUAUAAAGUAGAAGAUACAUUCAUUUUUCCCAUCACCACCCUUGUCAACUUCCUCCUCCAGAUCCUCUAAGAUGACUUAUCGUGGCUCUCUGAGAUACAGCCUUCAAGACACCAUACAGAUUCAGGAUGAUGGCACCUUUCAUAAGGACUGCAAUAAUCCUUCUGUUCCUGAUGAUGCAUGAACUACAGUCCCAAUGACAGUCACAUUAUAGUGGGCUAUGGAGGAGCAGUUUGGAUUGACUACAUGAAAGUCCUCAGUGCAACGUGAUGGUGUGUUGUCCUGUGCUGUGAAGAGUUAACACGUGCUGUGGUAGAGGUUGUCACACUGCAGUGGUAAGUGAAUUUGCUAUGAAAAUUGAAGAAACCAGUGCAGAAAAAUGCCAAAUCAUCUUGAAAUAAAGUACAAAAUUUGCCAGUGGUUUUGGCGCACAAGGUGGUGGAUGCUGUAAAAUAUAGAAUUAAUUUAAUGCCACCCAAGUUAUC